UGCNNGUCGAACGGAAAGGNCCUUCGGGGUGCUCGAGUGGCGAACGGGUGAGUAACACGUGGGUGAUCUGCCCUGCACUUUGGGAUAAGCCUGGGAAACUGGGUCUAAUACCGAAUACACCUUGCUGGUCGCAUGGCCUGGUGGGGGAAAGCUUUUGCGGUGUGGGAUGGGCCCGCGGCCUAUCAGCUUGUUGGUGGGGUGAUGGCCUACCAAGGCGACGACGGGUAGCCGGCCUGAGAGGGUGUCCGGCCACACUGGGACUGAGAUACGGCCCAGACUCCUACGGGAGGCAGCAGUGGGGAAUAUUGCACAAUGGGCGCAAGCCUGAUGCAGCGACGCCGCGUGAGGGAUGACGGCCUUCGGGUUGUAAACCUCUUUCAGUACCGACGAAGCGCAAGUGACGGUAGGUACAGAAGAAGCACCGGCCAACUACGUGCCAGCAGCCGCGGUAAUACGUAGGGUGCGAGCGUUGUCCGGAAUUACUGGGCGUAAAGAGCUCGUAGGUGGUUUGUCGCGUUGUCCGUGAAAACUCACAGCUUAACUGUGGGCGUGCGGGCGAUACGGGCAGACUGGAGUACUGCAGGGGAGACUGGAAUUCCUGGUGUAGCGGUGGAAUGCGCAGAUAUCAGGAGGAACACCGGUGGCGAAGGCGGGUCUCUGGGCAGUAACUGACGCUGAGGAGCGAAAGCGUGGGGAGCGAACAGGAUUAGAUACCCUGGUAGUCCACGCCGUAAACGGUGGGUACUAGGUGUGGGUUUCCUUCCUUGGGAUCCGUGCCGUANCUAACGCAUUAAGUACCCCGCCUGGGGAGUACGGCCGCAAGGCUAAAACUCAAAGGAAUUGACGGGGCCCGCACAAGCGGCGGANCAUGUGGAUUAAUUCNAUGCNACGCGAAGAACCUUACCUGGGUUUGACAUGCNCAGGACGCGUCUAGAGAUAGGCGUUCCCUUGUGGCCUGUGUGCNNGGGUGCAUGGCUGUCGUCAGCUCGUGUCGUGAGANGUUGGGNUAAGUCCCGCAACGAGCGCAACCCUUGU
Molecule: ribosomal RNA, 1035 nt
Filed under: Mycobacterium sp. URHE0080
Lineage: Bacteria; Bacillati; Actinomycetota; Actinomycetes; Mycobacteriales; Mycobacteriaceae
Description: bacterial SSU rRNA
Rfam family: Bacterial small subunit ribosomal RNA
Source: RNAcentral